AGCCCAAGAGCUCUGGGCCCUGAGCAAGCCUCUGAUGCUCUGGUCCCCUGAACCCACCUUUUAAAUGCUUAUUCUGUCUCUUACUAACUCCUUUGUGUCUGUCGGACUUGGGGUACCCACUGGGUGGUGUGGGGCUGGUUUCCCUAACAUUCCCCACCCAAAUAAAGCAGCUCCAACCUUCCAGAUGGUUGCUCAGCUCAGAAGUCUUAGAGAAAUUCUGAUGCCUCUCCUCACAUUUGCUCUGUCAGCAAAUCCUGGUGUCACAAGAGGGCUCAGGAGGGUUUCUGGAUGCCAAUGAGACCCCAGCCACAGCCGGUCCCCAGAUUCUUGACAUCGUCACAAGAAAGAAUUCACAGAUGGCGCACAAGAAGGCUCUCGCCAGAUGCUGGUCUUGUGAUCUUGGACUUCCCAGCCUCCAGAACUGUUCUACUUGAAUCAUAGUUUCUUUGCUCCUGGGAUACCCCUGCUAUUCCCAGUGAUGCUGCGAACUGGGGUUCAAAGUGGGGUGGUCUGGUGAGGCCUAAAAUCCAUGUCCGGUGGAGAACUGGCUGCAUCCCUUACAGAACCUGCCACAUAUUUCUGCGACUUCCAAGAGGAAGGCUGGAAUUUACUGAGCUUACUGAAGCCAAUUAUCCAAAGAGGAUGUGAUCCAGAAGCAAGAUAAAGAUCAAAAGGACUCAGCUGGGAUUUGGCCUUCUCCAAGUGGAAGGAAUAAAAUCUGCAAUUGGCUCUGAAAAUAAAAACCAAACAAAAUCUCAGGCAAUCAUA
Molecule: long non-coding RNA, 768 nt
Organism: Gorilla gorilla gorilla (western lowland gorilla)
Lineage: Eukaryota; Metazoa; Chordata; Mammalia; Primates; Hominidae
Exons: 3
Source: RefSeq, a predicted model, not a curated record